UACCGAGGUCCCAAGCGUUGUUCGGAUUCAUUGGGCGUAAAGGGUGCGUAGGCGGCGCGGUAAGUCGGGUGUGAAAUCUCGGAGCUUAACUCCGAAACUGCAUUCGAUACUGCCGUGCUUGAGGACUGGAGAGGAGACUGGAAUUUACGGUGUAGCGGUGAAAUGCGUAGAUAUCGUAAGGAAGACCAGUGGCGAAGGCGGGUCUCUGGACAGUUCCUGACGCUGAGGCACGAAGGCCAGGGGAGCAAACGGG
Molecule: ribosomal RNA, 253 nt
Filed under: uncultured bacterium
Lineage: Bacteria
Description: partial 16S ribosomal RNA
Rfam family: Bacterial small subunit ribosomal RNA
Source: RNAcentral